Molecule: RNA transcript, 4557 nt
Organism: Micropterus dolomieu (smallmouth bass)
Lineage: Eukaryota; Metazoa; Chordata; Actinopteri; Centrarchiformes; Centrarchidae
Exons: 7
Source: RefSeq, a predicted model, not a curated record
CCGCCCGCUAAGUUACCAGCCUGUUUGCUUGCUGUCCGCCAGCUUGCCUGUCUGCCCUGACCACGCUCCAGUACGCCUUAUCAGAUUUCCUCUGAGCCUGGAAUACCCGCCUGCUCCCGGACCCUCCCUGGCCUUCCCUGAGCACUCUAAUAAAACCUUGCCAGUGUACUUGUCAACCAUCUUGUGUCCGCUUCUGAAUCCUUUCUGUGUAACCCAACAGUACGAACUGGCCACGAUGGAUUCAGCGGAAACCAUGGAAAUGGCUGACACAACGGAAGCAGCCCCGAGACGCCAAUCUGCUCUCGCCAGCCAAGGAGUCCUCCUCGGGGGACAAGACCAAUCCAUCCGGACCCUUAUGAAUGCACAACAAGGUACUAACGAACUAAUUGCUUGCCUAUCUGAUCAAGUUACUGCACUGUUGCAAUUAGUCUCUUCCACUCAGUCCUCUUCGCGGCCCACUUCUCCACCCUCGGUUUCGACUGAAUCCUAUACCCCCGAUCCUGAGCCUUUCUCUGGAGUUUUCCCUGUGCCGUGGUUUCCUGCUUCAGUGUGCCAUGGUGUUCACCCAACGGCCGCGGACCUUCGACACUGAUGCCUCUAAGGUACGCUAUAUUCUGGGCCUGUUAAGAGGGAGAGCACUAGCUUAGGCUGAAGCAGUUAGCGUAAAUACCCCGAUUACCACCCUGUCUCUGCCCCAGAUUAACUUAUGCUCCGGGAGGUUUUUGAUCACUGCGGUGAUGCAUCCCGCCACCUGCUGGAGCUCUGGCAGGGAGCCCGUACAGUGGCUGAUUUCUCCGGGAAUUCAGAGCCGACGCCGGCUGGAAUGAUGCGGCACUGCGGGGAGUUUUCAGAAAGGGACUAAAUGAGGCAAUUAAGGAUGAUUUAGCAUCACGGGAUGAGCCUACCAGUUUGAACUCUCUAAUCUCUCUAUCAGGCUCGACAAUCGCCUGCGUGAGCAGCAGAGGGAGCGUUCAACCCAGUCCACUUCCGAACCCCAACCAUGUCACCCAGUUACCUGCGAUCCUCCCAUGUUCCUAGCCACUUCCUCUAUGCCACAAUCCCCUUCCAGCUCCUUACCGGAACCCAUGCUGCUGGGUCGGGCUGUGCUGACACCAGAGGAACACUCCCGCGGACGAAACCGGGGUGAGUGCCUCUAUUGUGGCGUCAAGGGCCACUUUGUUUCCUCGUGCCCAGUUCGACCAAAAGGUCGGACUCCUCAGUAGGCGUGGGCAUACUGGGGGGUCAACUCCUUAGCCCCACUACGACACCCCUGUGGCUGUCUAUCCCGGCCACUUUAUGCACCCCCUCGAUUUCCCUGUCACUCCAAGCCCUUAUUGAUUCCGGCGCUGAGGGCAAUUUCAUUGAUAGAAAUCUGGCCAUACAAUCUUCCCGCUAGAACCACUCCCUGAGCCCUAUACUGCCCGGGCCGUAGAUGGUCGCUUCCUAACCUACGUUUCAGAAUCAACAAAACCCCUUAGACUAGUUUUGUCUGGAAAUCACCAUGAGGACAUCCUGUUUAAUGUUAUCUCCGCCCCUCAGACCCCAUCAUUUUAGGGUUUCCCUGGCUCAAACUUCACAAUCCCCAUAUUGACUGGGUCACCGGCAAGAUUCUGGGCUGGAGCACUUACUGCUCCUCCUCCUGUCUCCAAUCCGCGCUACCCCCAGCAGAGGGCGCCACUCCCCCAGGAGACUGAGUCCCCGGAUUUAUCUGGAGUUCCCCCUGAAUAUCAUGACCUGGAAACAAUAUUCAGCAAGGAUCUGGUGCUGUCUCUCCCACCUCACCAACCAUACGACUGCGAGAUCAAACUACUCCCCGGUGCCCCACUCCCAUCCAGCAGGCUCUACAAUCUUUCUCGCUCUGAGAGGGAGGCCAUGGAAACAUGCAUUCUUGACUCCCUUAAGACUCGUCUGAUCCGCCCCUCCUCCUGUUGGCGCAGGGUUCUUUGUUUCCAAGAAAAGUCUCUUCGGCCCUGUAUUGAUUACCGUGGCCUCAACUGUCAAGAACAAGUAUCCUUUGCCACUGAUCGACUCUGCUUUUGAACCCCUGCAGCAGGCCAAGGUCUUUUCCAAACUGGAUCUUCGCAAUGCCUACCACUUGGUGCGUAUAAAAGAGGGAGGGAAGACUGCAUUCAACACCCCGCUCGGCUACUUUGAGUAUCAGGAUAUCACUGAGCAUGUUUCCCACGUCCGCCAGGUUCUUCAGCAGCUGCUAGAAAACAGGUUGUACGUAAAGGCCGAGAAGUGUGAAUUCCAGUUCUGUGAGCUUCUUGGGCUACAUCAUUGGGCAGGGGCAGUUGCAGGCAGAUCCAGGCAGUGGUUGGGUGGCCAGUUCCAGGUUCCUGCAAACGGCUACAACAAUUUCUGGGAUUUGCUAACUUCUACUGAAGGUUUAUCAGGGACUACAGUAAGGUCGCAGCCCCCCUAACCAGACUAACUUCCACCAAAUCACCCUUCUCCAGGUUGCCUUCAACAAAUCCCUGUUUACGUCAGCCCCCAUCCUAGUACAUCCAGAUCCCACCAAGCAGUUUAUCGUCAAGGUUGAUGCAUCGGACAGCGGGGUGGGGGCCGUGCUGUCCCAACACUCUGGCCCCGGUCAGAAGAUUGUGCUUUCUUCUCAUGUCGUUUAACCUCCGCUGAGAGAAAUUACGAUGUAGGAGACCGGGAACUUCUAGCAGUGAAGCUGGCGUUGGAGUGGCGGCACAGGCUAGAGGGCACUGAACAGCCCCUCAUUGUUUGGACAGAUCAUAAAAACCUCACCUACAUUCAGACCGCCAAGAGACUCAACUCUUGCCAGGCACAUUUAACUUUACCUUGACUUACAGACCCAGCUCCCAAACACUAAACCUGAUGCCCUCUCCAGGAAUGUUUCCCUCGCCCACGGAUACUCCCAGUCCUGACACCAUCCUUCCCCCCCAGCUGUGUGGUGACGGCCAUUUCCUGGGAGAUUGAGUCAGUCGUAAGGGAGGCCCAACGCUCCCAUCCGGACCCAGGUAACGGUCCUGCUAACUGUUUGUUUGUCCCUGAUCCAGUCUGCUCUCAGGUCCUGCAGUGGAUCCACAACUCCCGUUUCGCCUGCCACCCCGGUUACCAAAGAACCCUGUCCCUGCUGAAGAGUUUCUGGUGGCCCACCAUGGAAGCGAUACACGGGAGUUAAUGUCAGCCUGCACAGUCUGUGCCCGGGGAAAAUCUUCUCGCCCCUCCUUCGGUGAGCUUCGACCGUGGUCUCACAUUGCCCUAGACUUCGUCACCGGCCUACCUCCAUCCCAAGGUAACAACACCAUACUCACCAUUGUAGACCGUUUAUCCAAGUCUGUCCACUUUGUCGCUCUACCCAAGUUGCCCACAGCUCGUGAAACCGCUGAUCUCCUCGUCCAGCAUGUGUUCCACCUUCAUGGAAAUCCCCUGGAUAUCGUGUCAGACAGAGGUCCACAGUUCAUCUCCAAGGUAUGGAGUGAGUUUUGUCAGUCUCCUCUCCAUUCCAUCCUUAGACUAAUGGACAAGCUGACAGGGCAAACUAAGACCUGGAGUCAGCCCUACAAUGUGUUGCUGCCCAAAACACCCAUUCUUGGAGCUCUCACCUGGCCUGGGUCAAAUACACCCAUAACUCCCUCGUCAGUGCGGCCACAGGCCUGUCACCGUUCGAGGCCUCUCUGGACUACCAACCCCCCCUGUUUCCGGCUCAGGAAAGAGACCUCACAGUGCCGUUGGUCCAACACAACCUCCGCCGCUGUUGCAAGGUCAGGAGGGACACUCGGGCCGCCCUCCUCAGGUCUACAGAGAACAACCGCCGCCUGGCAGACCAAUAUAGGAUCCUGGAUCCUGAAUAGAAGCAAGGUGGUUUGUCCAAUCUGCACCAAGGCCUUUCCCAAAAAUGAGAUCAGUCUGUGUGGAGAGAGCAUUGAAGAUGUAUUACGCUUUCUUGAACAGUUGACAUCACAACAGAAUUUAAAUUGUGUGUGUGUGGACAAAGAAGCCCUUCCAGACAGAGGCAUUGUCCAGUGGCAUAGGAAAAAAGCUGCAUCUCCUACCAGUACUCUGAAGGUGGUGUAAAUAGGGGAGGCAGGUGUUGAUACAGGAGCACUAAGGAAAGUUUUUGACUGAACUGUUGGCGAAAUAAUGGCAAUCAGCCUUGCCCAAGGUGGCCCAGCUCCUGCAUUUUUGAAAGAGGUGCUACAACUUCCUCUGCAUGGGAGAAUCUUCCCAGCUCAUCAGCAGGAGCAAUUGUCUUGCACUCCUCAACAAGACUGAUUCCAAUGCUGCAGCAAUAGAGUGCAUGGAACUGUAUGGUCUGGUGAACCAGAUGGCUGCAAAACCCGAAACUUGACACACCCUGUUUGUUCCUGGGAAGAUCACCAGACCUGAUGCAGAUUUCAUCAUCAUUGAAAUGUCAUUGUUGGUUUGACAGCAUGUGCAAGAACUAUGUACAAGUCAUAACCAUGUGACUGAGAAUGUUCCAGAGGAUUGAUGGUUCAACAACUGUAUCAUUAGUCUUCUUGCAGUACAGCACUCUCCCAGUCAAUGCCUGGAUCCUGAAGCUCCUUCCAAUUCAGAAACACA